This 2025-nucleotide ribosomal RNA is filed under the name Heterolobosea sp. EV10A. Its description in RNAcentral is "SSU rRNA". It matches the Rfam family "Eukaryotic small subunit ribosomal RNA". Lineage: Eukaryota; Heterolobosea. The record is from RNAcentral.
CUGGUUGAUCCUGCCAGUACUAUAUGCUUGUCUCAAAGAUUAAGCCAUGCAAAUGUUAGAUCAGGCAUAUGCGGUACCUUGUACCGUUUUUAAUUGCCAAUCUGUGGAAGGCUCAUUAUAAGAGUUAUAAACUUAGCCACUGGUUAGUUUAUAAAAGGAUACCACCGUUAAAUGCAGCGAUAAUACUUGGCAUUUGACAUUAGUGGGUAACUGACGUACCACUACUGUAACCCAUCUAGGGUGCUGUUCUUUCGGGAGCUGUAUCCUGGUGGGCGUCGACCAUUAGGCGCAGUCACUUGUGAUUGCAGGAAGACGGACUGAAAGGGCUCUAAUAAAGCUUUGGAGGUUAGUUUUCUCUAGUGGCCAAGCAGAGGUGUUUCUUAUCUAUCAGCUUGUUGUUUGUGAAAUGGACAAACAAGGCAUCAACGGAUACGGGGAAUUAGUGUUCGAUUCCGGAGAGGGAGCCUUAGAAAUCGCUACCACAUCUAAGGAUGGCAGCAGGCGCGCAAAUUACCCAAUCUUGAUACGAGGAGGUAGUGACGAAGCUAUAACGACUUUGUACCAACGGUGCAAAGGUAGGACCUUAUGGUCCUUUGUCAUGAGUUGAGUCUAAAACUCUCAACGAGCAGCUAAUGGAGGAAAAGUCUGGUGCCAGCACCCGCGGUAAUUCCAGCUCCAUUAGUGUAUAUUAAUACUGCUGUAGUUAAAACGCCCGUAGUAUACCCAAGGGGUAGCGAGUCGUUACUUACCAGUCCAGCGAAAGCAGGUGUUGAGGUUAUUCCUCAAUACCUGUAUUAGGUGUACUGGUUUUAUGGGUGAUUUCCCUACUAGGGAGAUUACCUGGGGUAGCGACACGUUAUUCUGCUCCCCAUCAACUUCGGUUGGUGGUGGCCCAAUUGGGUACAACUGUGAACAAAUCGUAGUGCUCAAAGCAGGCACUGUUUAUUUGCUUGUGCGAUUUAGCAUGGGACUGUAAAAUAACUGUACCGGAUGAAGCUCUUCUCCUUGGAGGAGGGUGGAAUCCAGUAUGGUGUUAGUAAUGGGGUUUAGGGUGAGGAUCCAGGUACCAUGGGGCUAGAGGUGAAAUUCAGAGAACCCCAUGUGACUACCUAAUGCGAAAGCUGUUGUGGUCCACCACACGCCCGUCUAUCAGGGACGAAAGUUAGGGGAUCGAAGAUGAUUAGAUACCGUCGUAGUCCUAACUAUAAACGAUACCGACAGAGGAUUGGAGGUGAAACCUUCAUCAGAUCCUUUCAGAACUCAAGGGAAACCUCAAGUCUUUGGGUUCUGGGGGGAGUAUAGUCGCAAGGCCGAAGCUUAAAAGAAUUGACGGAAAGGCACCACCAGGAGUGGAGUUUGCGGCUUAAUUCGACUCAACGCGGAGAAACUUACCAGAUCAGGAUGCUCCCAUGAUUGACAGGUUGAAAGCCCUUUCUUGAUUGAGCAGAUGGUGGUGCAUGGCCGUUUUCAGUUCGUGGAGUGAUUCGUCUUGUUAAUUCAGAUAACGAACGAGACCUAAACUUACUAACUAGGGUUAUAGGCAUUCCCUUCGGGGAAUGUUCGCUUCUUGGGUAGUCCAACGACUACUCGGAAGCCUAUAUCGAGUCCUUCAGGACUCUUCUUCUUAGAAGGACCACACCUUUUCAGGGUGAGGAAGCUUUAGGCUAUAACAGGUCUGUGAUGCCCUUAGAUGUUCUGGGAUGCACGCGUACUACAAUAAUGAUACCAACAAGGAAUAACGUAAGUUUCCUUCUCUCAAAAAGAGUGGGAAAUCUUGUCAAACGUUAUUAUGACAGGGAUAGAGGAUUGGAACAUCCUCUUGAACGAGGAAUUCCUAGUAAGCGCGGUUCAAGCAUACCGCAUUGAUUACGUCCCUGCCUUUUGUACACACCGCCCGUCGCUCCUACCGAUCGAACGAAGAGAUGAAUUUGAUGGACUUUGGGAUUUCGAUCUUGGAGGAAAUCAACUGAAUCUCUUCGUUUAUAGGAAGGAAAAGUCGUAACAAGGUCUUCGUAGGUGAACCUG